AUGCGCUCCAAGUAUAAGUCCAUUGAAACUUUGCAGGGUCAGCCAAGUCGGAAACGCGGACAUACUUCUCAGUAUCUAACCGAUGUUUUUAGGAGAGCCAAAAUUCAGUUUGUUCAAGAAAGUCGUCAGUUUCAGUUUUCUCGGCUUCAAUUAGGAAGGACAAAAAGGCUGUUGAAAACUCUUCAAUGUGAAUCUCAUAUUUCUAAUUGUCCAGUUUCAUUCAAGAAUAGUGAAGGUCUCUUUCUUCGUAGAAAGGCUUCCAAGAUUUUUGUCAAAGGCGGUUUAAUACUUAUGUGA
Molecule: non-coding RNA, 297 nt
Organism: Vicia faba (fava bean)
Lineage: Eukaryota; Viridiplantae; Streptophyta; Magnoliopsida; Fabales; Fabaceae
Source: the annotation of a GenBank genome assembly